UUUUUGUGAUUAAAACUGGAUAGGGUAUGGCAAAUUAUUUAAUUGGGUUAUUAAAAGGCAGGAAACCUGCGUGGGGCAUAUGAGUAAUCUUAUUUAUUACCAUUAGUAUAGCAAAAAGAUUCAUUGUGUGGUAUAAUUUUAGCACCAUGGACACCAUUAUUCUGAGUAAGAUUUACAGAAAAAAAAUCAAGAUAUAUUUCGAGUUCAUUUAUUGGAUUAAGAAUCCCGAAAUCGUCAUAAUAUAGCAGACUUUGUUAAGCUAAGGUAACACUUCUGACUGAUCCUGGGCACGACUGCAGCUUCUUGUUUCAUGAAUGAUGCUAUGACAGCUAUGGUAGGACUACACUGAAAAUGUCUUGGAACUAAUAGACAAGAAAACAUGGAUUUCUGAAUUAAUCUCUGGAUAUUUGAUGAAGUACUACAAUUUCAUAAUCUGAGAGAGCUGUACACUGGAUAUAAAUUGUAUUUUCAUGAAGCCGGUACACUCUGCCAGAUCUGGGAUUUGGACUUCCACAUCCUUGUGUUCAACAUGUCUUCACCUACCACUAAACUUCAUUAUGUUCAGCAUGUCUCCAGUUACUAGUAAGCUUCAUCAAGUUGGCUGCUUUGUUCAUCUGACCCAAGUUUCCAUCUAAUUUCAUCCAUUUUGUCACUUCGAUGAUAAGCAAACAGAAUGAUUAUUUUAAGACUUUAAAUGGAAUCAUGAAUAAAAAUGUUUGUACUAAGA
This is a long non-coding RNA of Protopterus annectens (West African lungfish), 727 nucleotides long. RefSeq lists it as uncharacterized. Lineage: Eukaryota; Metazoa; Chordata; Ceratodontiformes; Protopteridae. The transcript has 2 exons. The record is from RefSeq and is a predicted model, not a curated record.